This is a long non-coding RNA of Arachis duranensis, 386 nucleotides long. RefSeq lists it as uncharacterized. NCBI's taxonomy places the organism in Eukaryota, Viridiplantae, Streptophyta, Magnoliopsida, Fabales, Fabaceae. The transcript has 2 exons. The record is from RefSeq and is a predicted model, not a curated record.
AUUUUCCGGGAAAAAAUUAAUUGUAUUGUGUGGAAAUGAAUUCAGUGAAGAUUUUGGCUUUCCCAUUUCUGAGUUUGUUGAUCAUUGCAAUUUCUCACAUGGCCCAUGCUCAAGACUUGGCUCUCUCUCCUUCACCUCCUCCCACUAGUGAUGGCACUGCUGUUGAUCAAGGAAUUGCUUACCUUCUUAUGGUGGUGGCUCUGGCAAUCACAUACAUGAUCCAUUAAUUUUCUUUAAUUAAUUAAUAGAUACUAGUAAUAGAUUAGCCAUAUUCUUUCAUUUACUUUUUCUCUCUUAAUAUUAGGGUGAGGAAAUUCCAGAGUUAAUGUACUGUAAUUAUAUUAUUGACGAAAUUUAGUAAUAUAUAAUAUGAUUUAAUUGUGUGA